CCUACGGGAGGCAGCAGUAGGGAAUCUUCCGCAAUGGGCGAAAGCCUGACGGAGCAACGCCGCGUGAGUGAUGAAGGUCUUCGGAUCGUAAAACUCUGUUAUCAGGGAAGAACAAAUGUGUAAGUAACUGUGCACAUCUUGACGGUACCUGAUCAGAAAGCCACGGCUAACUACGUGCCAGCAGCCGCGGUAAUACGUAGGUGGCAAGCGUUAUCCGGAAUUAUUGGGCGUAAAGCGCGCGUAGGCGGUUUUUUAAGUCUGAUGUGAAAGCCCACGGCUCAACCGUGGAGGGUCAUUGGAAACUGGAAAACUUGAGUGCAGAAGAGGAAAGUGGAAUUCCAUGUGUAGCGGUGAAAUGCGCAGAGAUAUGGAGGAACACCAGUGGCGAAGGCGACUUUCUGGUCUGUAACUGACGCUGAUGUGCGAAAGCGUGGGGAUCAAACAGGAUUAGAUACCCUGGUAGUCCACGCCGUAAACGAUGAGUGCUAAGUGUUAGGGGGUUUCCGCCCCUUAGUGCUGCAGCUAACGCAUUAAGCACUCCGCCUGGGGAGUACGACCGCAAGGUUGAAACGUUAAGGAAUUGACGGCUGAGACGAGCGAGACGACGACGAGGGAGAGG
RNAcentral lists this ribosomal RNA (619 nucleotides) under uncultured bacterium. RNAcentral's name for it is "bacterial SSU rRNA". It matches the Rfam family "Bacterial small subunit ribosomal RNA", at positions 338 to 950 of the family's 1533-position model. The record is from RNAcentral.